GUGACGAAGCGACGCCGCGUGGGUGAGGAAGGCCUUCGGGUUGUAAAGCCCUGUCAGGAGUUAAGAAAUGUAAGUGCGCUAAUACCGCAUUUAUUUGACGAAGGCUCCAAAGGAAGUCACGGCUAACUCUGUGCCAGCAGCCGCGGUAAUACAGAGGUGGCAAGCGUUGUUCGGAAUUAUUGGGCGUAAAGAGCACGUAGGUGGGUUUGCAAGUCAGACGUGAAAGCCUCCUGUUCAACGGGAGAAUUGCAUCCGAAACUGCAGAUCUUGAGUAUAGGAGGGGAGAAUGGAACUUCUGGUGGAGCGGUGAAAUGCGUAGAUAUCAGAAGGAACGCCGGCGGCGAAAGCGAUUCUCUGGCCUAUUACUGACACUCAGUGUGCGAAAGCUAGGGGAGCAAACGGGAUUAGAUACCCCGGUAGUCCUAGCCGUAAACGAU
RNAcentral lists this ribosomal RNA (437 nucleotides) under uncultured Planctomycetota bacterium. RNAcentral's name for it is "bacterial SSU rRNA". It matches the Rfam family "Bacterial small subunit ribosomal RNA", at positions 383 to 810 of the family's 1533-position model. The record is from RNAcentral. Lineage: Bacteria; Pseudomonadati; Planctomycetota.